AAAUUGAAGAGUUUGAUCAUGGCUCAGAUUGAACGCUGGCGGCAGGCCUAACACAUGCAAGUCGAGCGGUAGCACAGAGAGCUUGCUCUCGGGUGACGAGCGGCGGACGGGUGAGUAAUGUCUGGGAAACUGCCUGAUGGAGGGGAUAACUACUGGAAACGGUAGCUAAUACCGCAUAACGUCGCAAGACCAAAGUGGGGGACCUUCGGGCCUCAUGCCAUCAGAUGUGCCCAGAUGGGAUUAGCUAGUAGGUGGGGUAACGGCUCACCUAGGCGACGAUCCCUAGCUGGUCUGAGAGGAUGACCAGCCACACUGGAACUGAGACACGGUCCAGACUCCUACGGGAGGCAGCAGUGGGGAAUAUUGCACAAUGGGCGCAAGCCUGAUGCAGCCAUGCCGCGUGUGUGAAGAAGGCCUUCGGGUUGUAAAGCACUUUCAGCGGGGAGGAAGGCGAUAAGGUUAAUAACCUUGUCGAUUGACGUUACCCGCAGAAGAAGCACCGGCUAACUCCGUGCCAGCAGCCGCGGUAAUACGGAGGGUGCAAGCGUUAAUCGGAAUUACUGGGCGUAAAGCGCACGCAGGCGGUCUGUCAAGUCGGAUGUGAAAUCCCGGGCUCAACCUGGGAACUGCAUUCGAAACUGGCAGGCUAGAGUCUUGUAGAGGGGGUAGAAUUCCAGGUGUAGCGGUGAAAUGCGUAGAGAUCUGGAGGAAUACCGGUGGCGAAGGCGGCCCCUGGACAAAGACUGACGCUCAGGUGCGAAAGCGUGGGGAGCAAACAGGAUUAGAUACCCUGGUAGUCCACGCCGUAAACGAUGUCGAUUUGGAGGUUGUGCCCUUGAGGCGUGGCUUCCGGAGCUAACGCGUUAAAUCGACCGCCUGGGGAGUACGGCCGCAAGGUUAAAACUCAAAUGAAUUGACGGGGCCCGCACAAGCGGUGGAGCAUGUGGUUUAAUUCGAUGCAACGCGAAGAACCUUACCUGGUCUUGACAUCCACAGAACUUUCCAGAGAUGGAUUGGUGCCUUCGGGAACUGUGAGACAGGUGCUGCAUGGCUGUCGUCAGCUCGUGUUGUGAAAUGUUGGGUUAAGUCCCGCAACGAGCGCAACCCUUAUCCUUUGUUGCCAGCGGUCCGGCCGGGAACUCAAAGGAGACUGCCAGUGAUAAACUGGAGGAAGGUGGGGAUGACGUCAAGUCAUCAUGGCCCUUACGACCAGGGCUACACACGUGCUACAAUGGCAUAUACAAAGAGAAGCGACCUCGCGAGAGCAAGCGGACCUCAUAAAGUAUGUCGUAGUCCGGAUUGGAGUCUGCAACUCGACUCCAUGAAGUCGGAAUCGCUAGUAAUCGUAGAUCAGAAUGCUACGGUGAAUACGUUCCCGGGCCUUGUACACACCGCCCGUCACACCAUGGGAGUGGGUUGCAAAAGAAGUAGGUAGCUUAACCUUCGGGAGGGCGCUUACCACUUUGUGAUUCAUGACUGGGGUGAAGUCGUAACAAGGUAACCGUAGGGGAACCUGCGGUUGGAUCACCUCCUUACCUUAAAGAA
This 1545-nucleotide ribosomal RNA is filed under the name Klebsiella pneumoniae. Its description in RNAcentral is "bacterial SSU rRNA". It matches the Rfam family "Bacterial small subunit ribosomal RNA". Lineage: Bacteria; Pseudomonadati; Pseudomonadota; Gammaproteobacteria; Enterobacterales; Enterobacteriaceae. The record is from RNAcentral.